Molecule: ribosomal RNA, 392 nt
Filed under: uncultured bacterium
Lineage: Bacteria
Description: bacterial SSU rRNA
Rfam family: Bacterial small subunit ribosomal RNA
Source: RNAcentral
GACGAACGCUGGCGGCGUGCCUAACACAUGCAAGUCGAACGGACUUAAGUUUUCGGAUUUAAGUUAGUGGCGGACGGGUGAGUAACGCGUGAGUAACCUGCCUUUCAGAGUGGGAUAACAGGCUGAAAAGCCUGCUAAUACCGCAUAACAUAUUUUUGGGGCAUCCCGGAGAUAUCAAAGAUUUUAUCGCUGAAAGAUGGACUCGCGUCCGAUUAGAUAGUUGGCGGGGUAACGGCCCACCAAGUCGACGAUCGGUAGCCGGACUGAGAGGUUGAACGGCCACAUUGGGACUGAGACACGGCCCAGACUCCUACGGGAGGCAGCAGUGGGGGAUAUUGCACAAUGGGGGAAACCCUGAUGCAGCAACGCCGCGUGAGGGAAGAAGAUUUUUC